UGAGGAAUAUUGGUCAAUGGGCGAGAGCCUGAACCAGCCAAGUAGCGUGCAGGAUGACGGCCCUAUGGGUUGUAAACUGCUUUUAUGUGGGGAUAAAGUGCGUGACGUGUCAUGCAUUGCAGGUACCACAUGAAUAAGGACCGGCUAAAUACGUGCCAGCAGCCGCGGUAAUACGUAUGGAGCGAGCGUUGUCCGGAAUUAUUGGGCGUAAAGGGUGCGCAGGCGGCUUUACAAGUUGGAUGUGAAAUAUUGUGGCUCAACCACAAACGUGCAUCCAAAACUGCAAAGCUUGAGUUAAGGGGAGGUAAGUGGAAUUCCUGGUGUGGCGGUGGAAUGCGUAGAUAUCAGGAGGAAUACCGGUGGCGAAGGCGACUUACUGGACUUAAACUGACGCUCAGGCACGAAAGCGUGGGGAGCAAACAGG
RNAcentral lists this ribosomal RNA (424 nucleotides) under Fusobacteriota bacterium. Its description in RNAcentral is "Fusobacteria bacterium partial 16S ribosomal RNA". It matches the Rfam family "Bacterial small subunit ribosomal RNA", at positions 355 to 776 of the family's 1533-position model. The record is from RNAcentral. Lineage: Bacteria; Fusobacteriati; Fusobacteriota.